GAAGUCGGAAUCCGCUAAGGAGUGUGUAAAAACUCACCUGCCGAAUGAAUUAGCCCUGAAAAUGGAUGGCGCUGAAGCGGGCGGCCGACACCACGCCGUCUGGUAAAGAAUUAUGAUCAGAUGAGUAGGAGGGCGUGGCGGUUGUAUCGAAGGGUAUGUGCAGACAUGCCUGGAACGGCCGCUAGUGCAGAUCUUGGUGGUAGUAGCAAGUAUUCAAGCGAGAUCCUUGAAGGGCGAAGCGGGGAAGGGUUCCACGCGAACAUUGAUUGGGCGUGGGUGAGUCGUUCCUAAGUCGAGUGGCGAUUGCUAAGUACCGGCGAAAGGGAAGCUGGUUGACAUUCCAGCACACGGAUGUGGAGGCGGUGACGCGUAUUGGGACGAACACGCUGGCGGUGGCGCUGGGCAGAGUUGUCUUUUCUGUUUGACUUUGCGCGCGCGGUGUGGAAUCCGCUUGUCGGGAGAAACACGCGUGUCGAGGCAGAGCGCCGGGGCUUUUCCGGCGUCCAGCUCGCCACCGACGGCCCUUGAAACUUUGUCUGCUUAAUAAAUCCACGCCGUGGCGUACCGAUCACCGCAUCAGGUCCCCAAGGUGAACAGCCUCUGCUCUAUAUGAACAAUGCAGGUAAGGGAAGUCGGCAAAUUAGACCCGUAACUUUGGGAUAAGGGUUGGCUCUAGUGCUGCGUGGGAGUGGUUGCCCACGGUUGGGGGAAUCGGCGAUGCUCGCUUGGCGCGGGCCUUCGGGACUGUGCCGAGUGCUGAGUUGGUUUUUCUGCUUUGGGCGACGCCCACGGCAUGCAGCAGACUAGAACUGCAACGGGCAAAGGGAAUCCGACUGUUUAAUUAAAACAAAGCAUUGCGAGGGCCGUGGCCGGUGAUGACGCAAUGUGA
RNAcentral lists this ribosomal RNA (889 nucleotides) under Callophyllis pinnata. RNAcentral describes it as "LSU rRNA". It matches the Rfam family "Eukaryotic large subunit ribosomal RNA", at positions 1257 to 2194 of the family's 3401-position model. The record is from RNAcentral. Lineage: Eukaryota; Rhodophyta; Florideophyceae; Gigartinales; Kallymeniaceae.